Molecule: unclassified non-coding RNA, 3151 nt
Filed under: Hevea brasiliensis (rubber tree)
Lineage: Eukaryota; Viridiplantae; Streptophyta; Magnoliopsida; Malpighiales; Euphorbiaceae
Source: RNAcentral
UGAAGAGAGCAGCAAGAGAAGAUUUUUAUGGGGUUACAGCCUUAUAGGGCGAGACGAGAAAGAGGGACUGAAAGUUGCGGGGAUACGGCCGUUAACUAUUGGGCUAUAAAGCCUAAAAAACGGCGUCAUAUAAGCACGGCACUUUCUCUUUCCAGUUCAAUAAACCCUGAAUCCUGGUUCUCUGUUAAACCACAGAAGCUCAAUCCCCAUUGAAAAAUCACGCUUCUUUGAUUAGAAAGGAAUACGGAACAAUGUCAUCUUUGAUACUCAAAAGAUCAUUCAACAGAUCCUUGCUCCUUUCCCAAAACCCUUGCACCGAAACGCUACUUGUUCCCUCCUUGUUCUCAUCUCUGUCUGAACUCCAAGUUAAAUCUCUACACUCGUCAGGGCUUCGCAAUUUUCCAUCUUUAGAUCAAAAUUACAAGUUUCUGCUUUCUGGGUUCUCUUCAUUUUUGCUUAAAACUGUAGAAAGACCAUCUCGGUCCCAUUUUAGGGUAUCUAAGCGUUACCUUUCUUCACGUUGGAGAGAAAGAUAUAGGGUUUUGACUUCUCGAAUUUGUGCUUUGCAAAGAAAUAAUUCGGCUUUUUCUUCAGUUCUGCCUUCAAGUGUUGCACUUCCGUGUGAGUCUAAUAAGGAUCAGCUCCAUUCAAGGCGCUUUCGCAUGUUUAGUACAAAGGCAGCAGUUGAAUUGUCAACUUCUCAUGGGUUAACUGUUGAUAGAAUUGUUGCCAAUAAUUGGACAAUUCUUGACGAGAGCGAGAGCGAUUGGAAGAGUCAUGCUGCUGCUAUUUCUCAAUCCAUUCAAGUGAUCAAGAAGCGUUUGCAGUGGAAGAAAUUAAAGCUUAGAUUGGAUCUGUUAUCAGCUGAGCUGAAUAAGCCGGACCUUUGGGGAGAUCCGGUACAUGCUGGGAAGAUAAGCCGUGAGCAUGGUUCACUGAUGGCUAAAAUGAAACAAGUGACUGCAUUUGAGCAGGAAUUGCUUGAGCAUAUUGACAUGAUAAAGCUGGCUCGUGAAGAGGAUGACACUGAGUUGGAAUCGGUGGGCUCUCACUUCUUAUUCUAGGCAUGUAUUCAUUCUGUUUCAUUGUUGAUGUCUGGUAUCUUGGACUUGUACAAAGCAGCAACACUUAUGACUGAUGUUUGUUUUUUAACUCUCUUAAACAUAAUAUGGCCUGUACUAAUCGUUGCAACUGCGCUGAAAAUUCAGUCCAGUAUUUGGAUCAAAUAACCAAUUGUUGUGAUUUAUAAAAUGGAAUAGUAAGAAGUCCUACCGAGCUGAAGUAACUACUAAUUCUGCAUUAGAAAUAAGUCAUUGUGUUAAACAAAGUAAAAAUGAUAAAAUGAGAUUGAAGUACUAAAAAACAUGUAAUUAACAUUUUUCCUGCACUGAGCAUACAACUUUUUAUUGUGUACUUCUACUCAGUUCUUCUAUGUGGCUAUGCCACUAUUUAUUAUGUCAAAUGCCCUGUUUCUUAUUGCAGGAGUCGUUGAAUGCUUUACUUCGGAUGAGAAGAAAUUCAAAAGAGAAAGAGCUUCAAGCAUUGUUGGCUGGCGAGCAGGAUUCUUGCUCUUGUUAUAUGGAGGUUAAUUUCACACUGUUGUUAUUGCCUUUACAUUAAUCUUUCCUGCUUUACAGUGUCUUUGGAUGUUUUCCAUUCUCCAGCCAAAAAUAUAGAGAAUGUGUGUUAAUUGGUUUGGUCAAUAGUGAUCUUGUGAACUCGUCCUUCUUUGCUUACAUUUAUGAUGGAUAAUGAACAAAUUUUGAUGUAACAUUUGUCCGAUUUAAACCUUAGUAUCUUGAUGCAUAAAAUAGGUCCAAGCUGGAGCUGGGGGUACUGAGAGCAUGGACUGGGCAAAAAUGGUCAUGCAAAUGUAUAAGUUGUGGGCUCAACGGCAGGGUUAUAAAGUAACUGUGGUGGAUGAAAUGCCUGGUGAGAUUGCAGGAAUCAAGGUUCAGCUUUUUCCAUCCUUACCCAUUUUAGAAAUACAUGAUCAUACAUAGAUGUUUUGUAUUAUUUGAAUAUUUUUCUAUCGAAGAAAACCACCCGCUAUUUGUUUUUCAGCAAUGUUGCAUGGCAAGCUGUAAAAAUGUUUCUCUACUUAUACGUAAGAACAACCAUUAGGUUUCUAGCCUGAAAUAGCUUUUUCUUUCCAGCGAGCAACAAUCAAGGUAGAUGGUGAAUAUGCAUUUGGUUAUGCCAAAGCAGAAGUUGGUGUGCACCGGUUGGUACGUAUCUCCCCUUUUGACAGUGGAAAGCGCCGGCAUACUUCAUUUGCUGCUGUUGCAGUAAUUCCAAUUCUGGGUGAUGGAUCCACUCAUGUACAAAUUAAUGAAUCUGAUCUCCGAAUUGAGCGAUUUCGUGCUGGGGGAGCUGGUGGCCAGCAUGUUAACACAACUGAGAGUGCUGUUAGAAUAGUUCAUAUCCCAACUGGAAUCACUGCCACAUGUCAAAACGAAAGAUCACAGCAUAUGAAUAAGGCUUCAGCAAUGGCAGUGCUCCAAUCCCGGUUGGACCAGCUUGAAAUGGCUCGCCAGGCUCAGAUGAAUGCACAGCAUACGCACUCACUCACUGAAAUAAGUUGGGGAAACCAGAUUCGCACUUACGUGCUUCAUGUAUGGCAGCAUUGCAACUGCCAUCUAUUUCCUCAAAUACUAUUAACAAUAUAAACUAACCAAAUUUUAAUUAUAUUUAUUUUUUUGGUGCAGCCUUAUCGAAUGGUUAAAGAUCUUCGGACCAAUUAUGAGGUCUCUGAUCCCGACACCGUGCUUGGGGGAGCUAUAGAUGGCUUCAUCUUGAACUACUUAUCAGCUUCUGUGGAUAAAGAUGAAGACUACCAAUAAGCUUUAGUUUUCAUGAAGUUAUUAUAUCUUCUGCAGAUUGACAGAAAAUAUGGCCUUCGCGCAUUUCAGCAGCUGGAUGGUGAUCAAAGCUGCAAUACCCACUACACCUAAAUUUAGGGAGUGCAUUGAAAUUUUGUCUAUUUAGUGGAAGCAAGGGUGAAAAAAUUUUGCUACUGAAGAGUCUUAUUGGCUUUUGGUACAUAUUCUUUUAUUUCAUGGCAAGCUGUGCCACUAAUUGAUUAACGUUAUCUAUAAUGUUGGGUCAGUAUUUAUACCUUAAUAAAAAGUCAAUUGGAGCCUUGAUUAAG